GGGUUGUGAGGUUAAGCGACUAAGCGUACACGGUGGAUGCCCUGGCAGUCAGAGGCGAUGAAGGACGUGCUAAUCUGCGAAAAGCGUCGGUAAGGUGAUAUGAACCGUUACAGCCGGCGAUGUCCGAAUGGGGAAACCCAGUGCAAUUCGUUGCACUAUCGUUAACUGAAUACAUAGGUUAACGAGGCGAACCGGGGGAACUGAAACAUCUAAGUACCCCGAGGAAAAGAAAUCAACCGAGAUUCCCCCAGUAGCGGCGAGCGAACGGGGAGCAGCCCAGAGUCUGAAUCAGCUUGUGUGUUAGUGGAACGGUCUGGAAAGUCCGACGGUACAGGGUGAUAGUCCCGUACACCAAAAUGCACAGGCUGUGAACUCGAAGAGUAGGGCGGGACACGUGGUAUCCUGUCUGAAUAUGGGGGGACCAUCCUCCAAGGCUAAAUACUCCUGACUGACCGAUAGUGAACCAGUACCGUGAGGGAAAGGCGAAAAGAACCCCGGCGAGGGGAGUGAAAAAGAACCUGAAACCGUGUACGUACAAGCAGUGGGAGCACCUUCGGGUGUGACUGCGUACCUUUUGUAUAAUGGGUCAGCGACUUAUAUUCUGUAGCAAGGUUAACCGUAUAGGGGAGCCGCAGGGAAACCGAGUCUUAACUGGGCGUUAAGUUGCAGGGUAUAGACCCGAAACCCGGUGAUCUAGCCAUGGGCAGGUUGAAGGUUGGGUAACACUAACUGGAGGACCGAACCGACUAAUGUUGAAAAAUUAGCGGAUGACUUGUGGCUGGGGGUGAAAGGCCAAUCAAACCGGGAGAUAGCUGGUUCUCCCCGAAAGCUAUUUAGGUAGCGCCUCGUGAACUCAUCUUCGGGGGUAGAGCACUGUUUCGGCUAGGGGGUCAUCCCGACUUACCAACCCGAUGCAAACUACGAAUACCGAAGAAUGUUAUCACGGGAGACACACGGCGGGUGCUAACGUCCGUCGUGAAGAGGGAAACAACCCAGACCGCCAGCUAAGGUCCCAAAGUCAUGGUUAAGUGGGAAACGAUGUGGGAAGGCACAGACAGCCAGGAUGUUGGCUUAGAAGCAGCCAUCAUUUAAAGAAAGCGUAAUAGCUCACUGGUCGAGUCGGCCUGCGCGGAAGAUGUAACGGGGCUAAACCAUGCACCGAAGCUGCGGCAGCGACACUAUGUGUUGUUGGGUAGGGGAGCGUUCUGUAAGCCUGCGAAGGUGUGCUGUGAGGCAUGCUGGAGGUAUCAGAAGUGCGAAUGCUGACAUAAGUAACGAUAAAGCGGGUGAAAAGCCCGCUCGCCGGAAGACCAAGGGUUCCUGUCCAACGUUAAUCGGGGCAGGGUGAGUCGACCCCUAAGGCGAGGCCGAAAGGCGUAGUCGAUGGGAAACAGGUUAAUAUUCCUGUACUUGGUGUUACUGCGAAGGGGGGACGGAGAAGGCUAUGUUAGCCGGGCGACGGUUGUCCCGGUUUAAGCAUGUAGGCUGAUUGUCCAGGCAAAUCCGGAUAAUCAAGGCUGAGGUGUGAUGACGAGGCACUACGGUGCUGAAGUAACAAAUGCCCUGCUUCCAGGAAAAGCCUCUAAGCAUCAGGUAACAUCAAAUCGUACCCCAAACCGACACAGGUGGUCAGGUAGAGAAUACCAAGGCGCUUGAGAGAACUCGGGUGAAGGAACUAGGCAAAAUGGUGCCGUAACUUCGGGAGAAGGCACGCUGGUGUGUAGGUGAAGUCCCUGCGGAUGGAGCUGAGACCAGUCGAAGAUACCAGCUGGCUGCAACUGUUUAUUAAAAACACAGCACUGUGCAAACACGAAAGUGGACGUAUACGGUGUGACGCCUGCCCGGUGCCGGAAGGUUAAUUGAUGGGGUUAUCCGUAAGGAGAAGCUCUUGAUCGAAGCCCCGGUAAACGGCGGCCGUAACUAUAACGGUCCUAAGGUAGCGAAAUUCCUUGUCGGGUAAGUUCCGACCUGCACGAAUGGCGUAAUGAUGGCCAGGCUGUCUCCACCCGAGACUCAGUGAAAUUGAACUCGCUGUGAAGAUGCAGUGUACCCGCGGCAAGACGGAAAGACCCCGUGAACCUUUACUAUAGCUUGACACUGAACAUUGAGCCUUGAUGUGUAGGAUAGGUGGGAGGCUUUGAAGCGUGGACGCCAGUCUGCGUGGAGCCAACCUUGAAAUACCACCCUUUAAUGUUUGAUGUUCUAACGUUGGCCCCUGACCGGGGUUGCGGACAGUGUCUGGUGGGUAGUUUGACUGGGGCGGUCUCCUCCCAAAGCGUAACGGAGGAGCACGAAGGUUAGCUAAUCCUGGUCGGACAUCAGGAGGUUAGUGCAAUGGCAUAAGCUAGCUUGACUGCGAGCGUGACGGCGCGAGCAGGUGCGAAAGCAGGUCAUAGUGAUCCGGUGGUUCUGAAUGGAAGGGCCAUCGCUCAACGGAUAAAAGGUACUCCGGGGAUAACAGGCUGAUACCGCCCAAGAGUUCAUAUCGACGGCGGUGUUUGGCACCUCGAUGUCGGCUCAUCACAUCCUGGGGCUGAAGUAGGUCCCAAGGGUAUGGCUGUUCGCCAUUUAAAGUGGUACGCGAGCUGGGUUUAGAACGUCGUGAGACAGUUCGGUCCCUAUCUGCCGUGGGCGCUGGAGAAUUGAGGGGGGCUGCUCCUAGUACGAGAGGACCGGAGUGGACGCAUCACUGGUGUUCGGGUUGUCAUGCCAAUGGCACUGCCCGGUAGCUAAAUGCGGAAGAGAUAAGUGCUGAAAGCAUCUAAGCACGAAACUUGCCCCGAGAUGAGUUCUCCCUGAGACUUUAAGUCUCCUGAAGGAACGUUAAAGACGAUGACGUUGAUAGGCCGGGUGUGUAAGCGCAGCGAUGCGUUGAGCUAACCGGUACUAAUGAACCGUGAGGCUUAACCUUACAACGCCGAAG
Molecule: ribosomal RNA, 2923 nt
Filed under: Klebsiella pneumoniae
Lineage: Bacteria; Pseudomonadati; Pseudomonadota; Gammaproteobacteria; Enterobacterales; Enterobacteriaceae
Also listed under: 1 other name
Description: bacterial LSU rRNA
Rfam family: Bacterial large subunit ribosomal RNA
Source: RNAcentral